Molecule: non-coding RNA, 599 nt
Organism: Elaeis guineensis (African oil palm)
Lineage: Eukaryota; Viridiplantae; Streptophyta; Magnoliopsida; Arecales; Arecaceae
Source: RefSeq, a predicted model, not a curated record
UCUGAAGAAUAUCAAAUAAGCUAUAGCUCAUAUUUGAUAGGAAAAGGUUUGCAUCGUAAAUGAAGAUGUCAAUAUAUGUUUACCUAAAACAACAAUUGUUAGUAUCAUCUCAUUCCAAUGUUUCAACUUGUUACUGUGAGCAGAAGGGGUUCAAAACUGGUGGAGAAAAUGACUUGAUCAUCUUCUGAAGCUGACUGAUGAUCAGGAGCAAGGUUUCCUAAGGCAGUGGAUUCAUUAUCAGGGAGAUACAUGGUUGAGCAUGUUAUGGCCCUCAUGUUGGCAUAUACCAUCAGGAGCAUACAAUAUCAUCACCGAUGCGUAGAAUUGCUCUCAUCUCUGCUGGUGACAACACAAUAUUGUUUGCAGACUCAAUUUGAAGUUCACAGGAUCAGGAAAGAUAAAGAGACAUAUAUUGGAGGUAUUAAAACAAGGUUCACGAAAAAGGGAAGUGCAUAAUAUUGGGGCAUUCGGUGUGGCAUUGACUUCUUAGAGAACAAUCUCAUUUGUGUUGAGAGGCAUAUGUGCACCUCUUCUUGUAUCCUUCAUCCGAAUUUUUCUGUGCAUCUGUUCAAAGUAUUCAGUGUCGCACUUCAGACAAA